RNAcentral lists this transfer RNA (72 nucleotides) under bacterium. RNAcentral describes it as "tRNA-Gly". It matches the Rfam family "tRNA". Rfam says of the family: Transfer RNA (tRNA) molecules are approximately 80 nucleotides in length. Their secondary structure includes four short double-helical elements and three loops (D, anti-codon, and T loops). The record is from RNAcentral. RNAcentral also lists the same sequence under 2 other names.
GCGGGAGUAGCUCAGCGGUAGAGCAUCACCUUGCCAAGGUGGGGGUCGCGGGUUCAAAUCCCGUCUCCCGCU